Small nucleolar RNA from Nannospalax galili (Upper Galilee mountains blind mole rat), 90 nucleotides. RefSeq annotates it as small nucleolar RNA U83B. The record is from RefSeq and is a predicted model, not a curated record. The transcript has a single exon. Lineage: Eukaryota; Metazoa; Chordata; Mammalia; Rodentia; Spalacidae.
CGUUUUCUAUGAUGAGGCCCUGGAAUGUGUGCUGAAUACAGCACCAAGUAAGAUGCAGAAGCAUUCCUUGUUGCCUUCCCAGAAAAAAAA